This 292-nucleotide ribosomal RNA is filed under the name uncultured Bacteroidota bacterium. RNAcentral's name for it is "uncultured Bacteroidetes bacterium partial 16S ribosomal RNA". Lineage: Bacteria; Pseudomonadati; Bacteroidota. The record is from RNAcentral.
GGACUACUGGGGUAUCUAAUCCUGUUUGAUCCCCACGCUUUCGUGCCUCAGCGUCAAUAACUGCUUAGCAUGCUGCCUGCGCAAUCGGUGUUCUAUGUCAUAUCUAUGCAUUUCACCGCUACAUGACAUAUUCCGCAUACCUCAACAGUAUUCAAGACUAAUAGUAUCAUUGGCAGUUUCCAGGUUGAGCCCGGAGAUUUCACCACUGACUUACUAACCCGCCUACACACCCUUUAAACCCAGUAAAUCCGGAUAACGCUCGCACCCUCCGUAUUACCGCGGCUGCUGGCAC